Molecule: long non-coding RNA, 360 nt
Organism: Harmonia axyridis
Lineage: Eukaryota; Metazoa; Arthropoda; Insecta; Coleoptera; Coccinellidae
Exons: 2
Source: RefSeq, a predicted model, not a curated record
CUUGUGUAUCUUGUAUUGUGAUAGGUAUAAUCUUUCAUCUAUCGUACGCUGUGUCUUGUGAAUGUGAAAAUCAGAUAUAUUACUUACGCAUUGUUCAUCGGCGUCGUAGAAAUCAAGAUACCUACAGCAAGUCCCCAUCUAGAUGAAAUAACCGACAACAAUGACAUCAUAACAAAUCACAUUUCGUAUGAUAUACUCAAGAGUGCUAUGAUGUCUAAUAGGGCGAGCCCUCAAAAGUUCCUGACACCAAGCCAGUGCUUUUCUUGGAUUUUCUUAAUACAUAAUUAUAAAUACAUAUACAUUGUACUAUGGCCUUCUCAUGACACAUUAUCAUAAAUAAAUCGCUACCAUGCCAUUUGA